GAUGAACGCUGGCGGCGUGCCUAAUACAUGCAAGUCGAGCGAACAGACGAGGAGCUUGCUCCUUCGACGUUAGCGGCGGACGGGUGAGUAACACGUAGGUAACCUACCUAUAAGACUGGGAUAACUUCGUGAAACCGGAGCUAAUACCGGAUAAUAUUUCGAACCGCAUGGUUCGAUAGUGAAAGAUGGCUUUGCUAUCACUUAUAGAUGGACCUGCGCCGUAUUAGCUAGUUGGUAAGGUAACGGCUUACCAAGGCAACGAUACGUAGCCGACCUGAGAGGGUGAUCGGCCACACUGGAACUGAGACACGGUCCAGACUCCUACGGGAGGCAGCAGUAGGGAAUCUUCCGCAAUGGGCGAAAGCCUGACGGAGCAACGCCGCGUGAGUGAUGAAGGUCUUCGGAUCGUAAAACUCUGUUAUUAGGGAAGAACAAACGUGUAAGUAACUGUGCACGUCUUGACGGUACCUAAUCAGAAAGCCACGGCUAACUACGUG
Molecule: ribosomal RNA, 497 nt
Filed under: uncultured bacterium
Lineage: Bacteria
Description: partial 16S ribosomal RNA
Rfam family: Bacterial small subunit ribosomal RNA
Source: RNAcentral